GACGUAGGGCGCAAGCGUUGUCCGGAAUUAUUGGGCGUAAAGAGCUCGUAGGUGGCGUGUCGCGUCUGCCGUGAAAGCCCAUGGCUUAACUGUGGGUCUGCGGUGGAUACGGGCAGGCUGGAGGCUGGUAGGGGCAAGCGGAAUUCCUGGUGUAGCGGUGAAAUGCGCAGAUAUCAGGAGGAACACCGGUGGCGAAGGCGGGUCUCUGGGCCGAUACUGACGCUGAGGAGCGAAAGCGUGGGGAGCGAACAGG
This 253-nucleotide ribosomal RNA is filed under the name uncultured bacterium. RNAcentral describes it as "partial 16S ribosomal RNA". It matches the Rfam family "Bacterial small subunit ribosomal RNA", at positions 524 to 776 of the family's 1533-position model. The record is from RNAcentral.